CAAAUGUUCUUCGUGAACAUGGCGUACUGCUCAGUAACACGUGGAUAACCUGCCCUUAGGUCUGGCAUAACCCCGGGAAACUGGGGAUAAUUCCGGAUAGAUCAUGGAUGCUGGAAUGCACCGUGGUCGAAAGCUUUUGUGCCUAAGGAUGGGUCUGCGGUCUAUCAGGUUGUAGUGGGUGUAACGUACCUACUAGCCUACGACGGAUACGGGUUGUGGGAGCAAGAGCCCGGAGAUGGAUUCUGAGACAUGAAUCCAGGCCCUACGGGGCGCAGCAGGCGCGAAAACUUUACAAUGCGGGAAACCGCGAUAAGGGGACACCGAGUGCCAGCAUCCUAUGUUGGCUGUCCAUAUGUAUAAAUAACAUGUGUUAGCAAGGGCCGGGCAAGACCGGUGCCAGCCGCCGCGGUAACACCGGCGGCCCGAGUGGUGGCCACUAUUAUUGGGUCUAAAGGGUCCGUAGCCGGUUUGGUCAGUCUUCCGGGAAAUCUGACGGCUUAACCGUUAGGCUUUCGGGGGAUACUGCCAGGCUUGGGACCGGGAGAGGUAAGAGGUACUACGGGGGUAGGAGUGAAAUCUUGUAAUCCCUGUGGGACCACCAGUGGCGAAGGCGUCUUACCAGAACGGGUCCGACGGUAGGGACGAAAGCUGGGGGCACGAACCGGAUUAGAUACCCGGGUAGUCCCAGCCGUAAACUAUGCUCGCUAGGUGUCAGGGACGGUGCGACCGUUUCUGGUGCCGUAGGGAAGCCGUGAAGCGAGCCACCUGGGAAGUACGGUCGCAAGGCUGAAACUUAAAGGAAUUGGCGGNCNNGCACUACAACGGGUGGAGCCUGCGGUUU
RNAcentral lists this ribosomal RNA (841 nucleotides) under uncultured Methanosarcinaceae archaeon. Its description in RNAcentral is "bacterial SSU rRNA". It matches the Rfam family "Archaeal small subunit ribosomal RNA", at positions 59 to 903 of the family's 1478-position model. Lineage: Archaea; Methanobacteriati; Methanobacteriota; Methanomicrobia; Methanosarcinales; Methanosarcinaceae. The record is from RNAcentral.